UUGUCUAAACUAUCGUCGCGUUAACCAACAGAAAUGACUUAUAAGUAUUUAAGGCGGAGCUUGGAUGUUAACUUAUAUCGACCCGGCAAAAGCGCCUAACUAUAAGGGAGUUGAACAUACAUCGACUGGCUAUAAGUCUGACCACUUCCAAACUGCGUAACCGUGUGGUAUCGCAUCUUCUAUUCCACAAGACACUGAAAAAUUAUUCAAAUGGAGAAUAAAUUUUUGCUUUUUGUUGCAAUUGGCGCAUUGAUUGUCGCAAGUGCGAGGGGACAAGAAGAAGAAAAUGAUUCUGAUCGCAGUGGAAAAGUGUUCUUGUACAAACGUGCAGAUUUUGAUGAUUCCAGUAAUCAGCAGGAUGUGUUUAUAAAUAAACGUACAGCGGACGAAAUCAAUAAAGAAGCAGUAAAAGAAAGAGGGCAAUAAAUACCAGACGAGUUUCAUUCUGAACAACAUCCUCAUUGAUGGACUACAGGGUUGUUUUCCGGUUGUUUCAAGGAUCUGAAAAAUAACAUAUAUAAAAAGCUUACUCUUUAAAUAAUCAGACUAUAUUUAUCUACAAUAAACAG
This is a long non-coding RNA of Mercenaria mercenaria, 569 nucleotides long. RefSeq lists it as uncharacterized. NCBI's taxonomy places the organism in Eukaryota, Metazoa, Mollusca, Bivalvia, Venerida, Veneridae. The transcript has 4 exons. The record is from RefSeq and is a predicted model, not a curated record.